Molecule: ribosomal RNA, 468 nt
Filed under: uncultured bacterium
Lineage: Bacteria
Description: partial 16S ribosomal RNA
Rfam family: Bacterial small subunit ribosomal RNA
Source: RNAcentral
GACGAACGCUGGCGGCGUGCUUAACACAUGCAAGUCGAACGGAAAGGCCCUGCUUUUGUGGGGUGCUCGAGUGGCGUACGGGUGAGUAACACGUGAGUAACCUGCCCUUGACUUUGGGAUAACUUCAGGAAACUGGGGCUAAUACCGGAUAGGAGCUCCUGCUGCAUGGUCGGGGUUGGAAAGUUUCGGCGGUUGGGGAUGGACUCGCGGCUUAUCAGCUUGUUGGUGGGGUAGUGGCUUACCAAGGCUUUGACGGGUAGCCGGCCUGAGAGGGUGACCGGCCACAUUGGGACUGAGAUACGGCCCAGACUCCUACGGGAGGCAGCAGUGGGGAAUAUUGCACAAUGGGCGGAAGCCUGAUGCAGCAACGCCGCGUGCGGGAUGACGGCCUUCGGGUUGUAAACCGCUUUCGCCUGUGACGAAGCGUGAGUGACGGUAAUGGGUAAAGAAGCACCGGCUAACUACGUG